RNAcentral lists this ribosomal RNA (460 nucleotides) under uncultured bacterium. Its description in RNAcentral is "partial 16S ribosomal RNA". It matches the Rfam family "Bacterial small subunit ribosomal RNA", at positions 338 to 795 of the family's 1533-position model. The record is from RNAcentral.
CCUACGGGUGGCAGCAGUGAGGAAUAUUGGUCAAUGGGCGCAAGCCUGAACCAGCCAAGUCGCGUGAGGGAUGACGGUCCUAUGGAUUGUACACCUCUUUUGUCGGGGAGCAAGGCCCGCCACGUGUGGCGGGACGGAGAGUACCCGCAGAAAACGCAUCGGCUAACUCCGUGCCAGCAGCCGCGGUAAUACGGAGGAUGCGAGCGUUAUCCGGAUUUAUUGGGUUUAAAGGGUGCGUAGGCGGAAGGUUAAGUCAGCGGUAAAAUGUCGGUGCUCAACACCGGCCUGCCGUUGAACCUGGUAGUCUUGAGUGAGCGAGAAGUAUGCGGAAUGCGUGGUGUAGCGGUGAAAUGCAUAGAUAUCACGCAGAACUCCGAUUGCGAAGGCAGCAUACCGGAGCGCAACUGACGCUGAGGCACGAAAGCGUGGGGAUCGAACAGGAUUAGAUACCCCAGUAGUC